GGAGGGGUGCUCCGAAUGGUAAGGAACGCGCUUGGAGAGCGCGCGCCCGCAAGGGCUUGCAGGUUCGACUCCUGUCCCCUCCGCCA
Molecule: transfer RNA, 86 nt
Filed under: Candidatus Nealsonbacteria bacterium RBG_13_37_56
Lineage: Bacteria; Candidatus Nealsoniibacteriota
Description: tRNA-Ser
Rfam family: tRNA
About the family: Transfer RNA (tRNA) molecules are approximately 80 nucleotides in length.
Source: RNAcentral